Long non-coding RNA from Helianthus annuus (common sunflower), 2562 nucleotides. RefSeq lists it as uncharacterized. The transcript has 7 exons. Lineage: Eukaryota; Viridiplantae; Streptophyta; Magnoliopsida; Asterales; Asteraceae. The record is from RefSeq and is a predicted model, not a curated record.
CCAAAACUCUGGUCAAAACCCAUACACCCUUCGUACCCAUCUUUCCCUUUUCUCUUCCUGUGUUCUUCUUCCUUCCCUCUGCCCUAUCUCUUUAUAGAUCCAUGUUCUGCUUUUGAAUUUUGAAAAAGAGGUUUUGAUUUUCAAAUCUCUACUCUCUCCCUCAAUUGCCUAUUCGUGCAUCUUUCAAAUCUCUAAUCAGAUUUCAAAAUUCAAAUGGAUUUCAAACACCCACCUCUAAAUCCCCCCUUCAUUCAAAUGACAAAAACCCUAAACAGAUUUCAAAAUACAGACAACGUUCUUUCUCUUUCAUGGUUCUCUUUCUCGCUCUAGAAGUUGUUCAAAUGCUCGUCGUAUGCCGAUCACUCCGACUCCGCCAUCUUCUGGUCUCCAUGUGUCGAAAUAUGGCGAUAAAUUGACAUCAGAGUUAAUGGCGGCGCUAUCUAGAGAUCUAUUCAAGGAUUUUGUACGGUGAGUUUAUGGCAUUUGAUUCCCCUUUUCUUUCCUAUAACGUUUCUUCUUAUGUUUGUUGGGAUAAUUAAUUACAUUACUAUUUUUUACGUUUAAGUCUAAAUUUACUCUCAGAGGAUCUCUACAGAUUUCCGUAGAAGGUUGCAGAUUCCAUGGUUUUGUUCCUCUGUAGUGGUGUGGUGCUGAUGGGGAUUCGGAAAUAAUUUAGCAGGACCAAGAUUCCCUUUUCAAAGAUGAUGAGUUAUGAAAUCUCCAUAUAGGAUGGAAAGAGAGCUUAAACCUCAUUUGUCUAUUCUGGUUGGCUAAUGUAAGUUUGAGUCUUUUGUGAGUAAGUGCCACUCAUAGGUGUUAGUGAAUUCUAAAUUUAUAUUAUAUUUCUAUUUAAUAUGAUUUGUUAUUGUCACAAUAUAUGUUUAAUUUAUCAUUUAUUUGUGUAUAUUUUUUGUGAUUUCUAAUUAAUUUUUUCUUCCUUUUCGGGAUGAGUUUAUUCUUACGUGGUUUUAUGGGAAGACUACUAUUAGGUUGAAGAUUACAAAACUAAAGGUGUAUAUAGUCUACCCUAAAGAUUUUGCAACCAUUUAAAAUAUCAUUCCGCUAACAGAAAUCGAUUGGAUAUAUUUGUUUGUGGCAACCAAAUACGCAAGGGUGUUGCUCUUAAAGCCGUUCGGAUCGCAGAGAUGUUGCUGUAACCGAGAUGUUUAGUUUAUUCAGGUUCAGGUAAAUUAAGAUGUUGAAUUAGCUGUUGAAGAGAAUCUGCAUUGUUUUAAAAAGUAGCAACGAAUCAACGAUACUAAUUAUAUCUGAACCAGGUGUCGCACCUUCUAUAUCAAAUGAAAAUGUGGUAACAGUAAAAAAUGCAAAUGUACUUGUGGAGUCGCAAGAUGAUGAUAAGAUGCAAGACCAGAGAGUUUAAACACGUUUGGUUUGAUUUGAUGUCUUUUUUUUUUAAAUCGAUUUAUUUAAACAAGUUAAAUGACAUGAUGAUAUAGGUUUUUAGUAGUAUUCGAAUCAUUAACUAUUUGUAUUUGACCAAAACUAAAAAAAAUAUAACCAUUUGAAAAGGUUAGUCAUUUUUUAGAUUAAAAAAGGAGUAAAAUCUUUACAUCGAGAAUGUCCUCAAGCAAUAAGAUGGACACCCAAGAUUUCUUGCGACACUAAUUAUAUAAGUUGCGUUUAACUUCUUACGACACUAAAGGUAAGUACCCUAUCUUUAUUGUCUCUUGCUUUACAUACAUUAUUCUGAACUCAAAUUCGUAAAUAAUGGAUAAAAUGUGUAAUAGUUCACAUUUAUAUAUUUUUUUUAUUCGAAGUUUAUAAAUGCAACAUGGUGGAAUUUUUGUUUAAUUGAGGCUGAAUAUAUGGGACUUUGAGUCUCAAAAGAUGGUGAUUUACAUUGCGUAACUAUGAAUCUUAAAGUAGUUAUUAAUAUGAAGUCACUGAACUUCAAACGAAGCAUGCAAUUUGAUAUAAGAGAUUAAAGAAUUGAAGGAACAGGAUAUCACUUUAGCACGUUAAUAAAUUUAUAGAUAUAUAUGUUGAAUAAUAUUAUGUUUAAAAUCAUAAAAGAUUAUGAUUUUAAACAUGUUUGUUAAGCGCUCAUAGUCAGCCCUAUAGUGAAGCGCUCAUAGCGAGCACUAUAGUGAAGCGCUCAUAGCGUAUUAAAUGGCCAUGUACAUGUACUUGAUCUUAGUUCAAAUGUGCAGGUAUUUUACUUGAAACACCCAAGGUUUGAACUGUCCAUGCACACCAGAUAAGAGAGGAUAAUGUUCUUGAACUCCCACAUGCUCAAGUUCCUAAGUUGGCUACACAAGCUGAGCAGCAGCAAUGGCUCAAAACAACAAAGCAGCCAUGAAGUUAAAAAGUUCGUUUGAUGUCAUACGCUAUAGCGCGUGUUGGCGAUGUUUCGACAUAUUACCCUAAGUAAUUCAAUUUCUGUUUUUUUUCUUCUUGGUAAGGUUUGCCAGACAUAGGUCUUAGCAUGAAGAGAUAUCAGGUUAUAAAUCAUACAAAAAAUACUUUUAUAGAUAUAGAUUUUUUUUUAACACAACUCAUAACCCGUGAAGCUCACGGGUAUAUAACCUAGUAUAUGUAUAU